AUUGAACGCUGGCGGCAUGCUUUACACAUGCAAGUCGAACGGUAACAGGCCUUCGGGUGCUGACGAGUGGCGAACGGGUGAGUAAUGCAUCGGAACGUGCCCAAUCGUGGGGGAUAACGUAGCGAAAGUUACGCUAAUACCGCAUAAGCCCUGAGGGGGAAAGCAGGGGAUCGCAAGACCUUGCGCGAAUGGAGCGGCCGAUGUCAGAUUAGCUAGUUGGUGGGGUAAAGGCCUACCAAGGCGACGAUCUGUAGCGGGUCUGAGAGGAUGAUCCGCCACACUGGGACUGAGACACGGCCCAGACUCCUACGGGAGGCAGCAGUGGGGAAUUUUGGACAAUGGGCGCAAGCCUGAUCCAGCCAUGCCGCGUGCGGGACGAAGGCCUCGGUUGUAACCG
Molecule: ribosomal RNA, 397 nt
Filed under: uncultured bacterium
Lineage: Bacteria
Description: bacterial SSU rRNA
Rfam family: Bacterial small subunit ribosomal RNA
Source: RNAcentral